Molecule: ribosomal RNA, 484 nt
Filed under: uncultured bacterium
Lineage: Bacteria
Description: partial 16S ribosomal RNA
Rfam family: Bacterial small subunit ribosomal RNA
Source: RNAcentral
AGUGAACGCUGGCGGCAUGCCUUACACAUGCAAGUCGAACGGCAGCGCGGGAUGCGGCCUGGCGGCCAGUGGCCGACGGGCGAGUAAUGCAGCGGAACGUCCCCAUCUACUGGGUAUAGCCCGGUGAAAGCCGGAUAAAUACCGCAUACGCCCUGAGGAGGAAAGCGGGGGACCGAAAGGCCUCGCGCUAUUGCAGCGUCCGAUGUCGGAUUAGCUAGUUGGUGGGGUAAAGGCUUACCAAGGCGACGAUCCGUAGCUGGUUUGAGAGGAAGACCAGCCACACUGGGACUGAGACACGGCCCAGACUCCUACGGGAGGCAGCAGUGGGGAAUUUUGGACAAUGGGGGCAACCCUGAUCCAGCCAUGCCGCGUGCGGGAAGAAGGCCUUCGGGUUGUAAACCGCUUUUGUUCGGGAAGAAAGCCUCUGGGUUAAUACCCCGGGGGGAUGACGGUACCGGAAGAAUAAGCACCGGCUAACUACGUG